UAUAUAUGGGGAUCACCUAUAUUUUCUACCAAGAGGGCAUACCAUUCCAUCAUGGGUUCUAGGAAUGUACACCAAGCAUUCAAAUGGCUAUGGAAAUCGAAAUGUCAAAGGAAACAUAAAAUCUUCUUCUGGUUACUGCUCGUGGACAGACUAAACACGAGAGAUCUUCUAAGAAGAAGACAGAUGGCACUGGAGUCUUACAACUGCGAGCUCUGCAUCAGACAAAAAAGAGAGACGGCAUAUCAUUUAUUUUUCCGCUGCAACUUUGCAAAAGCUUGCUGGAGAAGUAUUGGGAUUACUUAUGUGCAUACAAGGCCGAUCUUGAACAUAUUAGAGCAACUAAGAAGGAAAUUAGGAACACCGUUUUCUAUGGAGAUUAUAAUCCUGAUGGAGUGGAGCAUCUGGACAACAAGAAACAACUGGAUGUUCAACAAUAUUGAUCCUCUCA
This 448-nucleotide long non-coding RNA is filed under the name Setaria italica (foxtail millet). Its description in RNAcentral is "long non-coding RNA (SITA_LNC001076)". The record is from RNAcentral. Lineage: Eukaryota; Viridiplantae; Streptophyta; Magnoliopsida; Poales; Poaceae.